AUUGAACGCUGGCGGCAGGCCUAACACAUGCAAGUCGAGCGGAAUGAUGAAGAAGCUUGCUUCUUCUGAUUUUAGCGGCGGACGGGUGAGUAACACGUGGGCAACCUACCUUGUAGAUUGGGAUAACUCCGGGAAACCGGGGCUAAUACCGAAUAAUCCAUUUUGCUUCAUGGCGAGAUGUUGAAAGACGGUUUCGGCUGUCACUACAAGAUGGGCCCGCGGCGCAUUAGCUAGUUGGUAGGGUAAUGGCCUACCAAGGCGACGAUGCGUAGCCGACCUGAGAGGGUGAUCGGCCACACUGGGACUGAGACACGGCCCAGACUCCUACGGGAGGCAGCAGUAGGGAAUCUUCCACAAUGGACGAAAGUCUGAUGGAGCAACGCCGCGUGAGUGAAGAAGGUUUUCGGAUCGUAAAACUCUGUUGUAAGGGAAGAACACGUACGAGAGUAACUGCUCGUACCUUGACGGUACCUUAUUAGAAAGCCACGGCUAACUACGUG
This 500-nucleotide ribosomal RNA is filed under the name uncultured bacterium. RNAcentral describes it as "bacterial SSU rRNA". It matches the Rfam family "Bacterial small subunit ribosomal RNA", at positions 30 to 507 of the family's 1533-position model. The record is from RNAcentral.